GAGAGAGAUGAAGGGAGAGAUGAGGGAGAGAUGAAGGAGAGAUGGAGGAGAGAUGGGGAGAGAUGAGGGAUAGGUGGGGACAGAUGGAGGAGAGAUGGAGGAGAGAUGGAGGAGAGAUGGAGGAGAGAUGGGGGAGAGAUAGAUGAGAGAUGCGGUAGAGAUGUGGAGAGAUGAGGGAAAGAUGGAGGUGAGAUGAGGGAGAGAUGGGGAGAGAUGGGGGAUAGAUGAGGGAGAGAUGGAGGAGAGAUGGGGAGAGAUGAGGGAGAGAAGGAGGUGUGUUGAGGGAGAGAUGGAGGAGAGAUGAGGGAGAGAUGA
Long non-coding RNA from Oncorhynchus tshawytscha (Chinook salmon), 315 nucleotides. Lineage: Eukaryota; Metazoa; Chordata; Actinopteri; Salmoniformes; Salmonidae. The record is from Ensembl.